GGGCCCGCACAAGCAGCGGAGCAUGUGGUUUAAUUCGAAGCAACGCGAAGAACCUUACCAGGUCUUGACAUACUUUGACCACUUAAGAGAUUAAGUUUCCCUUCGGGGCAAAGAUACAGGUGGUGCAUGGUUGUCGUCAGCUCGUGUCGUGAGAUGUUGGGUUAAGUCCCGCAACGAGCGCAACCCCUAUGUUUAGUUACUAACAUUCAGUUGAGGACUCUAGACAGACUGCCCGGGAAACCGGGAGGAAGGUGGGGAUGACGUCAAAUCAUCAUGCCCCUUACGACCUGGGCUACACACGUGCUACAAUGGUAUGUACAGAGGGUUGCGAAGCAGUGAUGCCAAGCUAAUCUCAAAAAACNUAUCUCAGUUCGGAUUGUAGGCUGCAACUCGCCUACAUGAAGUUGGAGUUGCUAGUAAUCGCGAAUCAGAAUGUCG
RNAcentral lists this ribosomal RNA (438 nucleotides) under uncultured Bacillota bacterium. RNAcentral describes it as "bacterial SSU rRNA". It matches the Rfam family "Bacterial small subunit ribosomal RNA", at positions 917 to 1359 of the family's 1533-position model. The record is from RNAcentral. Lineage: Bacteria; Bacillati; Bacillota.